UCCAUGAAUGGUGGUGCACCUGUCGUCCCAGCUACUCAGGAGGCUGAGGCAGGAGGAUCACUUGAGCCCAGGAGUUCUGGGCUGUAGUGUGCUUUCCCGAUUGGGUGUUCACACUAAGUUCGGCAUCAAUAUGAUGACCUCCUUGGAGCGGGGACCACCAGGUUGCCUAAGGAAGGGUGAACCGUCCCAGGUUGGAAACGGAGCAGGUCAAAACUCCUGUGCUGAUCUGUAAUUCUCCUUUUUGAUGGUGUCUUUGCCUGGUUUGGGAAUCAAGGUAAUACUGGCCUCAU
Molecule: unclassified non-coding RNA, 290 nt
Organism: Ailuropoda melanoleuca (giant panda)
Lineage: Eukaryota; Metazoa; Chordata; Mammalia; Carnivora; Ursidae
Rfam family: Metazoan signal recognition particle RNA
About the family: The signal recognition particle (SRP) is a universally conserved ribonucleoprotein. It is involved in the co-translational targeting of proteins to membranes. The eukaryotic SRP consists of a 300-nucleotide 7S RNA and six proteins: SRPs 72, 68, 54, 19, 14, and 9.
Source: Ensembl